Molecule: ribosomal RNA, 483 nt
Filed under: uncultured bacterium
Lineage: Bacteria
Description: partial 16S ribosomal RNA
Rfam family: Bacterial small subunit ribosomal RNA
Source: RNAcentral
UUGAACGCUGGCGGCAGGCCUAACACAUGCAAGUCGAGCGGAUGAAGGGAGCUUGCUCCUGGAUUCAGCGGCGGACGGGUGAGUAAUGCCUAGGAAUCUGCCUGGUAGUGGGGGAUAACGUCCGGAAACGGGCGCUAAUACCGCAUACGUCCUGAGGGAGAAAGUGGGGGAUCUUCGGAUCUCACGCUAUCAGAUGAGCCUAGGUCGGAUUAGCUAGUUGGUGGGGUAAAGGCCUACCAAGGCGACGAUCCGUAACUGGUCUGAGAGGAUGAUCAGUCACACUGGAACUGAGACACGGUCCAGACUCCUACGGGAGGCAGCAGUGGGGAAUAUUGGACAAUGGGCGAAAGCCUGAUCCAGCCAUGCCGCGUGUGUGAAGAAGGUCUUCGGAUUGUAAAGCACUUUAAGUUGGGAGGAAGGGCAGUAAGUUAAUACCUUGCUGUUUUGACGUUACCAACAGAAUAAGCACCGGCUAACUUCGUG